GAUGAACGCUAGCGGCAGGCUUAAUACAUGCAAGUCGAGGGGCAGCACGGUUAGCAAUAACUGGUGGCGACCGGCGCACGGGUGCGUAACACGUAUACAAUCUACCUUAAACAGGGGGAUAGCCUUUCGAAAGAGAGAUUAAUACCCCGUAAUAAAUUGAACGGCAUCGUUUGAUUUUGAAAGCUCCGGCGGUUUGAGAUGAGUAUGCGUCUGAUUAGCUAGUUGGUGAGGUAACGGCUCACCAAGGCGACGAUCAGUAGGGGAGUCUGAGAGGACUAA
Molecule: ribosomal RNA, 279 nt
Filed under: uncultured bacterium
Lineage: Bacteria
Description: partial 16S ribosomal RNA
Rfam family: Bacterial small subunit ribosomal RNA
Source: RNAcentral